RNAcentral lists this ribosomal RNA (1372 nucleotides) under uncultured bacterium. Its description in RNAcentral is "bacterial SSU rRNA". It matches the Rfam family "Bacterial small subunit ribosomal RNA", at positions 28 to 1381 of the family's 1533-position model. The record is from RNAcentral.
GAUGAACGCUGGCGGCGUGCCUAAUACAUGCAAGUCGAGCGAACGGACGAGAAGCUUGCUUCUCUGAUGUUAGCGGCGGACGGGUGAGUAACACGUGGAUAACCUACCUAUAAGACUGGGAUAACUUCGGGAAACCGGAGCUAAUACCGGAUAAUAUUUUGAACCGCAUGGUUCAAAAGUGAAAGACGGUCUUGCUGUCACUUAUAGAUGGAUCCGCGCUGCAUUAGCUAGUUGGUAAGGUAACGGCUUACCAAGGCAACGAUGCAUAGCCGACCUGAGAGGGUGAUCGGCCACACUGGAACUGAGACACGGUCCAGACUCCUACGGGAGGCAGCAGUAGGGAAUCUUCCGCAAUGGGCGAAAGCCUGACGGAGCAACGCCGCGUGAGUGAUGAAGGUCUUCGGAUCGUAAAACUCUGUUAUUAGGGAAGAACAUAUGUGUAAGUAACUGUGCACAUCUUGACGGUACCUAACCAGAAAGCCACGGCUAACUACGUGCCAGCAGCCGCGGUAAUACGUAGGUGGCAAGCGUUAUCCGGAAUUAUUGGGCGCAAAGCGCGCGUAGGCGGUUUUUUAAGUCUGAUGUGAAAGCCCACGGCUCAACCGUGGAGGGUCAUUGGAAACUGGAAAACUUGAGUGCAGAAGAGGAAAGUGGAAUUCCAUGUGUAGCGGUGAAAUGCGCAGAGAUAUGGAGGAACACCAGUGGCGAAGGCGACUUUCUGGUCUGUAACUGACGCUGAUGUGCGAAAGCGUGGGGAUCAAACAGGAUUAGAUACCCUGGUAGUCCACGCCGUAAACGAUGAGUGCUAAGUGUUAGGGGGUUUCCGCCCCUUAGUGCUGCAGCUAACGCAUUAAGCACUCCGCCUGGGGAGUACGACCGCAAGGUUGAAACUCAAAGGAAUUGACGGGGACCCGCACAAGCGGUGGAGCAUGUGGUUUAAUUCGAAGCAACGCGAAGAACCUUACCAAAUCUUGACAUCCUUUGACAACUCUAGAGAUAGAGCCUUCCCCUUCGGGGGACAAAGUGACAGGUGGUGCAUGGUUGUCGUCAGCUCGUGUCGUGAGAUGUUGGGUUAAGUCCCGCAACGAGCGCAACCCUUAAGCUUAGUUGCCAUCAUUAAGUUGGGCACUCUAAGUUGACUGCCGGUGACAAACCGGAGGAAGGUGGGGAUGACGUCAAAUCAUCAUGCCCCUUAUGAUUUGGGCUACACACGUGCUACAAUGGACAAUACAAAGGGCAGCGAAACCGCGAGGUCAAGCAAAUCCCAUAAAGUUGUUCUCAGUUCGGAUUGUAGUCUGCAACUCGACUACAUGAAGCUGGAAUCGCUAGUAAUCGUAGAUCAGCAUGCUACGGUGAAUACGUUCCCGGGUCU